GCGAGACACAGGGAGGGGUGGGAGGUAUGACAGAGGGGGCAACGGGUGUUCGGAAGUACUGGGGGUAAAGCGGUUGUAGGAGGCCGCGACAUGCGGAUGGGAAAGCCCUGGGCUCAACUCAGGAAGUGCACCCGGUACGACGUGGCUGGAGUACCGGAGAGGGUGGUAGAAUUCUCGGUGUAGAGGUGAAAUUCGUAGAUAUCGAGAGGAAUACCUGUGGCGAAGGCGGCCAACUGGACGAGUACUGACGCUGAGACACGAAAGCGUGGGGAGCAAACAGGAUUAGAUACCCGAGUAGUC
This 300-nucleotide ribosomal RNA is filed under the name uncultured Halarchaeum sp. RNAcentral describes it as "bacterial SSU rRNA". The stretch from base 52 to 300 matches the Rfam family "Bacterial small subunit ribosomal RNA", at positions 547 to 795 of the family's 1533-position model. Lineage: Archaea; Methanobacteriati; Methanobacteriota; Halobacteria; Halobacteriales; Halobacteriaceae. The record is from RNAcentral.